RNAcentral lists this ribosomal RNA (833 nucleotides) under Botryohypochnus isabellinus. RNAcentral's name for it is "eukaryotic LSU rRNA". It matches the Rfam family "Eukaryotic large subunit ribosomal RNA", at positions 96 to 929 of the family's 3401-position model. The record is from RNAcentral. Lineage: Eukaryota; Fungi; Basidiomycota; Agaricomycetes; Cantharellales; Botryobasidiaceae.
AAGCGGGAAGAGCUCAAAUUUAAAAUCUGGCGGUCUUUGGCCGUCCGAGUUGUAGCCUAGAGAAGCGUUUUCCGCGGCAGACCAUGUACAAGUCUCUUGGAACAGAGCGUCAUAGAGGGUGAGAAUCCCGUCCUUGACAUGGACCCCCGUCGCUUUACGAUGCGCUCUCGAAGAGUCGAGUUGUUUGGGAAUGCAGCUCAAAAUGGGUGGUAAAUUCCAUCUAAAGCUAAAUAUUGGCGAGAGACCGAUAGCGAACAAGUACCGUGAGGGAAAGAUGAAAAGCACUUUGGAAAGAGAGUCAAACAGUACGUGAAAUUGUUAAAAGGGAAACGAUCAAAGUCAGUCGCGUCUGCCGGGACUCAGCCUCGCCCUCGGGCGGGGUGCACUUCCCGGUGCGACGGGCCAGCGUCGAUUUCGGCCGGCGGAGAAGGGUCGGGGGAAUGUGGCUCCUUGCGGAGUGUUAUAGCCCCCGGUCGCAAACGUCGGCUGGGAUCGAGCUCGUACGCACGGCACGCCCCUUGGCGGUGCCCGCGCUGGCGUAAUGGCUUUGACCGACCCGUCUUGAAACACGGACCAAGGAGUCUAACAUGCACGCGAGUGUUUGGGUGUAAAACCCGAGCGCGUAAUGAAAGUGAUGGUCGGGAACCCCUCGCGGGGGGCACCGACGCCCGUGGCUGACCUUCUGCGACGCACACGAGGCGGAGCGCACAUGUUGGGACCCGAAAGAUGGUGAACUAUGCCUGAAUAGGGUGAAGCCAGAGGAAACUCUGGUGGAGGCUCGUAGCGAUUCUGACGUGCAAAUCGAUCGUCAAAUUUGGGUAUAGGGGCGANAG